This 623-nucleotide ribosomal RNA is filed under the name uncultured bacterium. RNAcentral describes it as "bacterial SSU rRNA". It matches the Rfam family "Bacterial small subunit ribosomal RNA", at positions 8 to 679 of the family's 1533-position model. The record is from RNAcentral.
AGAGUUUGAUCCUGGCUCAGAACGAACGCUGGCGGCAGGCCUAACACAUGCAAGUCGAACGCCCCGCAAGGGGAGUGGCAGACGGGUGAGUAACGCGUGGGAACAUACCCUUCGGUUCGGAAUAGCUCAGGGAAACUUGGAUUAAUACCGGAUACGUCCGUAAGGAGAAAGAUUUAUCGCCGAAGGAUUGGCCCGCGUCUGAUUAGCUUGUUGGUGAGGUAAUGGCUCAUCAAGGCGACGAUCAGUAGCUGGUCUGAGAGGAUGACCAGCCACAUUGGGACUGAGACACGGCCCAAACUCCUACGGGAGGCAGCAGUGGGGAAUAUUGGACAAUGGGCGAAAGCCUGAUCCAGCCAUGCCGCGUGAGUGAUGAAGGCCUUAGGGUUGUAAAGCUCUUUUACCCGGGAAGAUAAUGACGGUACCGGGAGAAUAAGCCCCGGCUAACUUCGUGCCAGCAGCCGCGGUAAUACGAAGGGGGCUAGCGUUGUUCGGAAUUACUGGGCGUAAAGCGCACGUAGGCGGAUUUUUAAGUCAGGGGUGAAAUCCCGAGGCUCAACCUCGGAACUGCCUUUGAUACUGGGAAUCUUGAGUCCGGGAGAGGUGAGUGGAACUGCGAGUGUAGA